This is a long non-coding RNA of Myxocyprinus asiaticus (Chinese sucker), 530 nucleotides long. RefSeq lists it as uncharacterized. The record is from RefSeq and is a predicted model, not a curated record. Lineage: Eukaryota; Metazoa; Chordata; Actinopteri; Cypriniformes; Catostomidae. The transcript is spliced from 3 exons.
GCUGAGAUCAAGGGUCCCGCCACAUCUGAGGGAUGAGAGAUAAACAUUAAGAGAUAAAUGAACGAAUAUGCACCACAAAUUAGAUCAACUAUAGAAUCCCGUUACAUGUGUUCCGUUACUCCCCAAGCCUGACCACACGACUCCAGUGGUUAAAUCUGUCUUCUGAAGCAAUGUGAUAGAAGGCAGUGGUGGCUCAGCAGUUAAGGCUCUGGGUUACUAAUCAGAAGGUUGGGGGUUCAAGCCCCAGCACUGCCAAGAUGCCACUGUUGGGCCCUUGAGCAAGGCCCUUGACCUUAUCUGCUCCAGGGGCUCUGUAUCAUGGUUGACCCUGCACUCUGACCCCAACUUAGCUGGGAUAUGUGGAAAAAAAAAAGAAUUUCACUGUAUAUGUGCAAAUGUAUAAUGUGUGAUAAAAAAAUUAAUCAUUCACAUCUGGUAUGGUGUAAGUAAAUGAUGAGAUAAUUAUAAUUUUUUUGGGUGAACUAUCCCUUUAAGUGAUAUUAAUGAUAGAUGCCAAUGUUAUGUAUAUG